Amborella trichopoda is the source of this 2980-nucleotide long non-coding RNA. RefSeq lists it as uncharacterized. The record is from RefSeq and is a predicted model, not a curated record. Lineage: Eukaryota; Viridiplantae; Streptophyta; Magnoliopsida; Amborellales; Amborellaceae.
UUGAAAUUAUUGAAUUCUUCUAUAUAAUGUUAAAUUAUAGAGUACUUGUAAAAAUUAUUAAAAUACAUGUGCUUCAUUGAGUCAAUUCAGUCCUGUGAUUGAGAAUUUGAAUUCUAGUAUGGGUUGUUGAACCAUGCAUGAAGUAUAGUGCUGUUCAAUUUCAAUAAAUAAAAGUGCUUUGAAGUUUGAACCUUGUGAUGUCUGUCAAUACUUGACAAGUUGACAUCUCACGUGUCGAUGUUUGUACCUGGUGACAUCUCAAGUGCCCAUUUUUAUUCCACCCUUUGAGCCUAAAAAACAAACUUGUAGGUUUUGUGGCCCUUAACUAUAUGCUCCAUCGGUCUAGGAUAAUUCCCUGCCCUAGAACUUACCUCAUGAUUGUUGUCAAACCUAAAUAUGACAUUUCAUACCUGCGGCAACUUGCUUGAGUGAACUAUUAUGUCUGCUUUUUGAAACUUUUAUAUUGCGCCGCUUUAUCUUUAACUAAUUGUUGGAACUCACAGGCCCACAUGAACAAUGUCUGGAGACGAGGUUCCCUUGCUUUGCAACUAUGGUGGACAUUUUGCGAAUGAGACAGGUAGAAUCAUCUACAAUGGCAGUAGUACCCGAGGUACUAUGUUACCUGUGACAUUAGUUAUUCCAGUCUUCUAUCGAAAAUGCGCGAGGUCAGCAUGUCAGGACCUCCGCAUACUGGCAUUGACAUCAAGUAUAGGUAUCCUGGCAUAGAUUUCGACUCAUCCCUUGUCGAAAUUAAGAGUGAUGACGAUGUCCGUAUGAUGAUGGAUGUGUUUCCCCGAUAUUGCAAUGCCAUUGCUAUUUAUAUCAUCAAACAUGAAAUACAUCCAAUCAACACAUCUACUAUUAGGCACUAUAUCUCGGGUACUUCAAGGGGGGUCCACAAAAGUGGGUUGGAUAGCAGAAACACAAGAAUUGGGAACAACCAAUCAUCAGUCCCCAUUACUACAAACUCACCCCAAUCAUCUGCCGCAGAUAGGAGGGAUACAUAAUGAUCAGAGAGCAACAACUUUCUGAUGUUCCCAGUAUUACAAACACACAGAAUGUGUCUGAAAGCCUUUCCGACUCUCCGAAUAUAGAUUGGAGCCAGAUGGUGAAGAUGCGGGAUUGUCCAUUAGAUCCAUGGAUGAUGCAUCACCAUCAAAUUUUGGUUGUAAAGAUUUUACUAAAGAGAUUGGUACUUGUGAAAAGGCCUUGUUACAUUGAAGGAUUUGAGAGGAAAUGAGGGUACCUUAGAUUGUGGUCCAAGGCCCACUGAUAGCCUUGCAUUGAAGACGCAAGUAGGGUUUGAAGAGAGUGAUGAUGAGUCAUCACAUAGGUUGAAGGUAGGCCAAAUAUUCGUAGAUGGCAAGGAUUUUAAUAAAGCAUUGUGUGAGUUUGCUAUGUACUCAACUUUUGAAUAUAAGGAACCUCUAAGAACACGAGUACUGCGAAAUGUAUCAAUCCAGCUUGCCCUUGGCGCAUACAUGCAUCAGCCUACAUUCAAGAUUAAAACAUAUAAUCCAGUUCAUACUUGUAAUGAAAUGUAGUUCUUCACAUAGACAGGCGAGUAUUGCAUGGAUAGCUAGUGUUAUGUGCACACCAAUUUAUAUUAUACCCCAAAGGAAAUUGUGAGAGACAUUAAACGGCAAUACAAUGUCAAUGUAAGCUAUGUGAAAGCAUGGAGAGCCAAACAGGAUGCAAUGGGUGCUAUCCGUGGAUCUUACAAAGAAUCAUUUAAGGCUCUUCCAGGUUAUUGUAAAGAGAUGGAGAGAACAAAUCCAGGAAGUGUUACAGAACUGAUAUGUGAUGGGGACAGUGUAUUCUUGAGUUUAUAUUGGGCAUUCAGUGCAUCAAUUAGAGGAUUCUUGAAUGCAUGUCGUCCAUUUUUAGAAGUUGAUGGGGCUCAACUUACUGGGAGGUGCUCAGGUGUGUUUCUUUGUGCCACAGCUGUGGAUGCAAACAAUGAGUCAUUUCAUGUAGCUUUUGCUAUUGUAGAAUCUGAGAGCAACGCAUAUUGGACAUGAUUUCUAACUGUGUUAAGGCGGACAUUGGGGGAAAUACCAAGAUUGACAAUUAUUUUGAAUAGGGAAAAUGGCUUACAAAGUGCAGUAAAGGAGGUGUUCCCAGAGGCACUCCAUGGAUUUUGCAUGGCACGCCCCUCUGAAAGCUUUUAUAAGUUGUUUAGGAACGACAUGUUAUGAAAACACUUUUGGAAAGCUGCUCUGGCGUGCACAAGACAAGAAUUCGAGCUCCACAUGAGCACCAUUGAGGGCAUAUCCAAGGAGGCUGUUGCUUGGAUGAAUAGCAUCCGAACUGAAAAUUGGGAGAUCGAUACAACAUUCUUACUUCUAACAUUGCUGAAAGCUUCAACAAUUGGCUAAAUGAGGCUAGAGACUCGCCUAUUAUCUCCUUGGUAGAAUGCAUACACAUAAAGAUGAUGGAGUUGUUUAACCAGCGACGUGAUGAUGGGGGGAAGUGGACUGGCAUGCUUACACCAUUUGCUGAAAAAUACUUGGCUAAAAUGGUAGAGCCUUCACGUCAACAUAAUGUGCACCCUUGUCGACUGACUGAAUUUGAGAUUGUAUCCAAUGAGCAAACUUUUUUUGUGGACCUUGGCCAACUAACGUGUUCAUGCCGCCAGUGGGAAGUCCAAGGACUGCCAUGUUCACAUGCUAUGGCGGCCAUUCAUAAUAAAAAAUAUAACGCAUGUAAUUUUUGUCAGGGUUGGUUUUAUGUUGCCAAAUAUCAAGCAACAUAUUUGGAGGCAAUAGACCAAUACUUUACGCCAGCAAAUGAGAAGGUGAUGAAAGCCUAUCUAUUGAGGCUCCACCCACCAAAAAAAGACCUGGUCGAUCACGGAAAAACAAAAUUUGUUCGGAACCUUCAAAACCUCACCUCUGGUCAAUUGCAGUAACUGUAAACAAAUUGGUCAUAAUAAUAGGAGGAGUUGCAGAGGUCCAUUGCCUGUGCAAUUCAAAGUUAA